UACAGAGGUCUCAAGCGUUGUUCGGAUUCAUUGGGCGUAAAGGGUGCGUAGGUGGCGUGGUAAGUCGGAUGUGAAAUCCCGGGGCUCAACCCCGGAACUGCAUUCGAUACUGCCUUGCUAGAGUACUGGAGAGGAGAUUGGAAUUUACGGUGUAGCAGUGAAAUGCGUAGAUAUCGUAAGGAAGACCAGUGGCGAAGGCGGAUCUCUGGACAGUUCUGACACUGAGGCACGAAGGCCAGGGGAGCAAACGGG
This 252-nucleotide ribosomal RNA is filed under the name uncultured bacterium. RNAcentral describes it as "partial 16S ribosomal RNA". It matches the Rfam family "Bacterial small subunit ribosomal RNA", at positions 524 to 776 of the family's 1533-position model. The record is from RNAcentral.